RNAcentral lists this transfer RNA (68 nucleotides) under Megymenum gracilicorne. RNAcentral describes it as "tRNA-Ser". It matches the Rfam family "tRNA". Rfam says of the family: Transfer RNA (tRNA) molecules are approximately 80 nucleotides in length. The record is from RNAcentral. RNAcentral also lists the same sequence under 1 other name. Lineage: Eukaryota; Metazoa; Arthropoda; Insecta; Hemiptera; Dinidoridae.
AGUCAUGAAGUUUUAGUAAACAUAUACUUUGAAAGUAUAUUAGGAAAGUUAAAUUCUUUCAAUGACUU